This 492-nucleotide ribosomal RNA is filed under the name uncultured bacterium. RNAcentral describes it as "partial 16S ribosomal RNA". It matches the Rfam family "Bacterial small subunit ribosomal RNA", at positions 29 to 507 of the family's 1533-position model. The record is from RNAcentral.
AGUGAACGCUGGCGGUAGGCCUAACACAUGCAAGUCGAACGGCAGCACAGUAAGAGCUUGCUCUUACGGGUGGCGAGUGGCGGACGGGUGAGGAAUACAUCGGAAUCUACUUUUUCGUGGGGGAUAACGUAGGGAAACUUACGCUAAUACCGCAUACGACCUACGGGUGAAAGCAGGGGAUCUUCGGACCUUGCGCGAUUGAAUGAGCCGAUGUCGGAUUAGCUAGUUGGCGGGGUAAAGGCCCACCAAGGCGACGAUCCGUAGCUGGUCUAAGAGGAUGAGCAGCCACACUGGAACUGAGACACGGUCCAGACUCCUACGGGAGGCAGCAGUGGGGAAUAUUGGACAAUGGGCGCAAGCCUGAUCCAGCCAUACCGCGUGGGUGAAGAAGGCCUUCGGGUUGUAAAGCCCUUUUGUUGGGAAAGAAAAGCAGCAGGUUAAUACCCCGCUGUUCUGACGGUACCCAAAGAAUAAGCACCGGCUAACUUCGUG